UACAGAGGGUGCAAGCGUUAAUCGGAAUUACUGGGCGUAAAGGGCGCGUAGGCGGAGUAUUAAGUUAGAUGUGAAAUCCCUGGGCUUAACCUGGGAAUGGCAUUUAAUACUGAUAAUCUAGAGUAGAGUAGAGGGAAGUGGAAUUUCCGGUGUAGCGGUGAAAUGCGUAGAGAUCGGAAAGAACACCAGUGGCGAAGGCGGCUUCCUGGACUCAUACUGACGCUGAGGCGCGAAAGCGUGGGGAGCAAACAGG
This 253-nucleotide ribosomal RNA is filed under the name uncultured bacterium. RNAcentral describes it as "partial 16S ribosomal RNA". It matches the Rfam family "Bacterial small subunit ribosomal RNA", at positions 524 to 776 of the family's 1533-position model. RNAcentral also lists the same sequence under 1 other name. The record is from RNAcentral.